UACAGAGGUGGCAAGCGUUGUUCGGAAUUACUGGGCGUAAAGGGCGCGUAGGCGGCCUGCUAAGUCGGACGUGAAAUCCCUCGGCUCAACCGAGGAACUGCGUCCGAUACUGGUGGGCUUGAAUCCGGGAGAGGGAUGUGGAAUUCCAGGUGUAGCGGUGAAAUGCGUAGAUAUCUGGAGGAACACCGGUGGCGAAGGCGGCAUCCUGGACCGGUAUUGACGCUGAGGCGCGAAAGCUAGGGGAGCAAACGGG
RNAcentral lists this ribosomal RNA (253 nucleotides) under uncultured bacterium. RNAcentral's name for it is "partial 16S ribosomal RNA". It matches the Rfam family "Bacterial small subunit ribosomal RNA", at positions 524 to 776 of the family's 1533-position model. The record is from RNAcentral.